Molecule: ribosomal RNA, 939 nt
Filed under: Pertusaria excludens
Lineage: Eukaryota; Fungi; Ascomycota; Lecanoromycetes; Pertusariales; Pertusariaceae
Description: eukaryotic LSU rRNA
Rfam family: Eukaryotic large subunit ribosomal RNA
Source: RNAcentral
UUUCGACCUCGGAUCAGGUAGGGAUACCCGCUGAACUUAAGCAUAUCAAUAAGCGGAGGAAAAGAAACCAACAGGGAUUGCCUCAGUAACGGCGAGUGAAGCGGCAACAGCUCAAAUUUGAAAUCUGGCCCUCGGGUCCGAGUUGUAAUUUGCAGAGGGCACUUCGGGCGCGCGACCGGCCUAAGUUCCUUGGAACAGGGCGUCAUAGAGGGUGAGAAUCCCGUACGUGGCCGGCCGUCACCCCGUGUGAAGUCCCUUCGACGAGUCGAGUUGUUUGGGAAUGCAGCUCAAAAUGGGUGGUAAAUUCCAUCUAAAGCUAAAUACCGGCCAGAGACCGAUAGCGCACAAGUAGAGUGAUCGAAAGAUGAAAAGCACUUUGAAAAGAGAGUCAAACAGUAUGUGAAAUUGUUGAAAGGGAAGCGCUGGCAACCAGACGUGCCCGCGGGCGAUCACCCGGCCUUCGGGUCGGCGCACUCGCCCACGAUCAGGCCAGCAUCGGUUUCGACGGCCGGACAAAGGCGCGCGGGAACGUAGCUCCCUUCGGGGAGUGUUAUAGCCCGUGCCGCAAUGCGGCCCGCCGGGACCGAGGACCGCGCUUCGGCUAGGAUGCUGGCGUAAUGGUUGUCAGCGACCCGUCUUGAAACACGGACCAAGGAGUCUAACAUCUAUGCGAGUGUUUGGGCGUGAAACCCAUGCGCGGAAUGAAAGUGAACGGAGGUGGGAGCCUCGGCGCACCAUCGACCGAUCCUGAUGUCUUCGGAUGGAUUUGAGUAGGAGCAUAGCUGUUGGGACCCGAAAGAUGGUGAACUAUACGUGAAUAGGGUGAAGCCAGAGGAAACUCUGGUGGAGGCUCGCAGCGGUUCUGACGUGCAAAUCGAUCGUCAAAUUUGCGUAUAGGGGCGAAAGACUAAUCGAACCAUCUAGUAGCUGGUUCUUGCC